GCGGGUGUGGCGGAAUUGGCAGACGCACCAGACUUAGGAUCUGGCGCCGCAAGGCGUGGGGGUUCGACUCCCUUCACCCGCAC
RNAcentral lists this transfer RNA (83 nucleotides) under Pseudobacillus badius. RNAcentral's name for it is "Bacillus badius tRNA-Leu". It matches the Rfam family "tRNA". From Rfam's summary of the family: Transfer RNA (tRNA) molecules are approximately 80 nucleotides in length. The record is from RNAcentral. RNAcentral also lists the same sequence under 1 other name. Lineage: Bacteria; Bacillati; Bacillota; Bacilli; Caryophanales; Bacillaceae.